GGCAAAAGCUCAAAUUUGAAAUCUGGCGUCUUCGACGUCCGAGUUGUAAUUUGAAGAAGGCGACUUUGUAGCUGGUCCUUGUCUAUGUUCCUUGGAACAGGACGUCAUAGAGGGUGAGAAUCCCGUGUGGCGAGGAUCCCAGUUAUUUGUAAAGUGCUUUCGACGAGUCGAGUUGUUUGGGAAUGCAGCUCUAAGUGGGUGGUAAAUUCCAUCUAAAGCUAAAUAUUGGCGAGAGACCGAUAGCGAACAAGUACAGUGAUGGAAAGAUGAAAAGAACUUUGAAAAGAGAGUGAAAAAGUACGUGAAAUUGUUGAAAGGGAAGGGCAUUUGAUCAGACAUGGCGUUUGCUUCGGCUUUCGCUGGGCCAGCAUCAGUUUUAGCGGUUGGAUAAAUCCUCGGGAAUGUGGCUCUGCUUCGGUAGAGUGUUAUAGCCCGUGGGAAUACAGCCAGCUGGGACUGAGGAUUGCGACUUUUGUCAAGGAUGCUGGCGUAAUGGUUAAAUGCCGCCCGUC
RNAcentral lists this ribosomal RNA (512 nucleotides) under Kluyveromyces marxianus. RNAcentral's name for it is "eukaryotic LSU rRNA". It matches the Rfam family "Eukaryotic large subunit ribosomal RNA", at positions 100 to 653 of the family's 3401-position model. The record is from RNAcentral. Lineage: Eukaryota; Fungi; Ascomycota; Saccharomycetes; Saccharomycetales; Saccharomycetaceae.